AACAGUGCCAAAGCGUGAGUGUAGCGGCUAGUGCGGGGCGGCCACACCACUGCCGACCCCUAUACCCCUGCGGAAGGACACGGGGCCAGCGGCGGUGUCAGAGGGGAGUGCCACAGCCCCGACCCGAGGACCGUACAGUGCCAGUGGUGGGAGUGAUGGUGACGGCGGUGGUGCCAGGUGAUAGUGGUGGUGGUGAUAAUGGUGAUGGUGGUGGUGACAGUGCCGUGCCAGGGUGCCAAGCGGCCCUCCCAGCGGCGGUGGUGGCUUCGGGAUUCCCUUAUUGAACGAAUGCGGGAGUUUAUCGAGGAGAACGAGAAGACUGACCCGCUCAUCCACGCCCCCGACAAGAAGAACAACCCGUGGGCCGAAAAGGGCAAGUGCGUCAUUAUGUAAGGCCGAGGAUAGAAGCAGGGAGAGUCGCCGCGUGUACCACUGUCUCGCCCCAACACACGCACGGGCACUACGCCUCUCACUUCUCCCUUCUUGCCUCUAAUCUAUUCCUCCUCCCCCUUCUUCUUCUUUUCCUACCACCUCCAGGGCCUCCGUCGCCGCCACUGUCGCGAGGGCCUGCCACAACCAACACUCAUAUACUCACUACCCAUAUGUCCCUCGUGCUUCUUUUACUUUCAGGUGCUCUUAAAUACUCUCCUUCUCAUCUAUCUAUCACCACACACAGACACACACACCAGAACCCUCCCACACCCCAGACGAAGGAAAGGUCGUUCUGGGAGGCCCUGUAAGCCAAGCCAAGCCACGCUAGCCCAGACCUGCACUAUUCCUCUCUCAAGCGGACCCGUCACGCAGCCAGUCAGUCAGUCGGCCUCUCCUUGGGCAGUGCUUGGAGGCCCUUGCUCUCCUCCCAUCCAACUCGUAGAGGAUCUACUGCUCCUCUGCGGCCACCACGCAUCAAGGACUGACAACAUCUUCAGGAUCCAAGACAGCGAUGACCUUCCCCGCAGAGCCACCACCACGUGAAGAGGGCGGCUUUUCAGGCUCCUACUCGAGUGUGGACCGCCUGAUCGCCCUCCAAAGGCCUCGAAACACCCACUGGCGUCAUUAACAAGACUUCUCCGGCCAGUAAUUCUUCAGCCACUUCUCCAGGCAUUUCCUCGACACUACUUUAGCAAUCACGAGGAGCCUGCGUUCCCGAGUCAGCAGCGGGACAUCUUCAAAUCGUCAGGAAUGGGCUGGCAGUCUUCUCAAAGCCUAGCGCGGCCACACCAGAAGUAAACUCAUUGUUCCCUAAGACUGAAGAACCGACUCGCGACGGUGGUGGUGAUGGUGGUGGUGGUGACAUGGCGAGGUGGUGCGGUGUUGGGUGUGAGUGACGACGCGGCGAUUGGGGGUUGGGCGGCAGAGGCGGCGGCGGCGGCGGCGGCGGCGGCGUGCUGCUGCUGACGGCGCCGCCACUACUGCUGCUGCUGCUCAUUAUUUAGUCAACCCGACGCUGGAACAUUGGUUACUUUUCUAGGAUUCCCGUUUUUUACGAUCCCCCAUACUAUAGUUUUGUACAUCUUGAAGACAUUCAACUCCUCCUCCUCCUCCUCCUCCUCCUCCUCCUCCUGAUCCUUGUCCUUCUCCUCUUCCCACCCCCCUACUCCUCUUCCUCCUCCUUUCCCAGUUCAUUCCUUCCUCCUGAGGGUUAUCGAAGUUCAAACUCGUCAUUCCCAGUCAUAAUUUUAAUAAGAUGUACCUUUAGCAGCGCUGCCUCACCGGGGCGGCGCCGCGGGGAGUUGCCCACACACACCAGGGCACAGCCGGGAUCACGUUUCCCCUCUACGUGCCCCAACGCUCCAGGCACGUCCCCGCCCCCCUCGUCCCGGCCGCCGCUCAUCACCGGUCUUCGCGCAGGACACCACGCAUGUAAAAGCACGAUGAAAGCAAAAAUACUCUGUUGUCUUUGUAUUUGUUCUGUUGAUGCGGUUUGGUGUGUGGUGGCGCAGCGCAGCGGCCCGUGUCUGACGCGACGUCCUCGGCGAGCGCAGCGUGUGGCGAGGCGGGGCGCGGCGAGGGGCUCAGCGGUGAUGCUCGACGCAGAGGCUUCACCCACGCCCCCGAGCCGAGGGGCGAGCUGAUCCCUGGCUGGCGGUCCCUGACUCAUCCAAAACAACCCUGAUGGUUACUAACUACUGGUCCCUGACUCCCUUCACCUAAGGCUCUCAGGUCCUCAAAGGGCGUAGAAAACUCGGUGUCUAGUCUGUGUGAUGACCCACCCAAAUCUCGCCCUCCCGGCCACCUCAACCUUGAUGCAGACGUCGGGACACAGGUGACCGCAGCCUCGGACCGCCUCGCCUCUCGGCCACGCCACGGCAAAGGUGGAAUGUAAUUUGUAAUGUUCGCACCACCUGUAGAACACACACACACACACACACACACACACACACACACACACACACACACACACACACACACCACGUAUUCUAGUACACAUACAUGCAUACACACCACACCAAUGACACCUUUCAAGUAUGUAUUCCGAUAGCAAAUAGCAAUCAUAACCAUCCCUUUACGACACAAAAACUGUUAAAAAAAAAAAUUAACGAUAAGACAAUACUCGUACCCUGCGUGAGGGAGGCGUGCGUGAGGCAGUGAGCGGGGGCCGCGGUGUGGAGGCCGCCCCGCCGCCCCACCACACUCUAGUCCCCGGCGGGAGAAGCACGGGCGCCCGGCACAGUCAGGAGCAUAAUCAGCCGGGUUCAGUGACGCCCCACCUGUCCUAGUCAACUAUUAUUAGGGAUUAUUAUGCUGUAGGUGCCCUCCCCUUCCCUCCCCUCCUCUCCUCCCAGCCCUCCCUGCCCUCCCUGCCUCCCUCCCCCCUGCCCCCUCCCCUUGCCCCCUCAGUGAAGGCAGCCUGGUCGUCAGCUUCUAGAGGAGUCACCGCCAGGAGGGCCAGCCAGUACCCCUGUCCUCAGCUGGGCUGGCGGCAGGCGGCGACUGACUGACUGCUGCUACGCCUGGAGGAGCUCUCUCUCUCUCUCUCUCUCUCUCUCUCUCUCUCUCUCUCUCUCUCUCUCUCUCUCUCUCUCUCUCUCUCUCUCUCUCUCUCUCUCUCUCUCUACGGGCCAGGUCCUCCACACGUCUCCACUUCCUAUGAAGACGUAAUCUACAAUAAUCCACCCCUUCUCCCCCUCCCCCCAUUUCCCCUCCCUCUUGGCCCCAGAUCCCCCCACCCUCCCCCUUCCAAAACCUUCCAAGCUGACGCCAAGGGAAGUGUAAUGUCGCUAUAUUAUGAGUGUGACCAGAACAAGAGGAAAGAGAAAGAGAAGAGAUAAAGAAUGACUGAUAUGAAGAAAGAAAACUGUGAGGGAGUGAUGUGUCUUCAAGGAUCAGGCAGAGAGGAAAUAUUGAAUUGACAAGAUAAGAAAAAAAAAAAAAAAAAAAAGGGCAGAGAAUGAGACGGAAAGAGUGGAUGUGUAAAUCAAGGAGAAAUGCAUCACGUUAAGAUACAAAGAAAGACAAGGAAAGAAGGAAAGAAAAUGAAAGAGAGAGAGAGAGAGAGAGAAACACCAGUCAAACAUAACGAAAAAGGAAAGAAACAAGUAAAAAAGGGAGAAAAAAAAGAGGAAAACAGAGGAAGGAACCAAGGAACAAAAAACUAAAGAAGAAAUAGAAAGAAAAAAAUAUUAGAGACAGGCACUUCCGGUUAAGCUUGAGAAAGAGAGAAAGGAAGGAAGGAAAGAUAAAAUAGAGAUAGAAAUAGAGAGAAGUGUGAGUUUCCAGUCAGCCUUACGGAUUCAAUCAUUUCUUUCCUCCUUCACCAUUACUCUUUACCGUUAAGGUCCUCAAAGGGUUAUACUACCUGGCCCCCCUUCCCUUCCCUCCCUCCUCACCCUUCCCCUCUUCCUCCCCUCCCUCCCCUCCCCUGCCUGAAGCCCUCAAGUACCAGCUUCAGGGAAUUAACAGGAGGAAGAAGAGGAGGAAGAGGAGGGAGGAGGAGGAAGAGGAAGAGGAGGAGGAGGAGGAAGAGGAAGAAUUUCAGGGGGCAUCAAUCUAAGUGUUCUCUUGAAGGAUAUUUAAAUAGUGUUGCGCUGUGAACGUCAUUAUUAUUAUUAUCAUUAUCAUUAUUAUUAUUAUUAUUAUUAUUAUUAUUAUUAUUGUAAGGGUGAAUGGUCAUAAGUGUUUUUUUCCGAGUUCUAGUUCUUUUUUAAUGAUGGACUACUAAUAUUGUUCUAUACAUACGUACUACUACUACUACUACUACUACUACUACUACUACUACUCUGUACUACUAGAUCAACUCACGGUUUUUUGAAUGUGCGUCUGUUUGUCUAUCUGUCUGUCCGUCUGUCCGUUGUACCUCGAGAGUCACCAUCAAGUGCUGUCUGUGUUGUCUGUUCCUCCUCCUCCUCCUCCUCCUUCUCCUCCUUCUCCUUAUAAUCAUCUAAUUUCUCAUUCUAUUCCUCCUUCUCCUCCUUCUCCUUAUAAUCCUCUAAUUCCUCAUUCUAUUCCAUCUACAUUUCCACCUAUUCCUUAUGCUUAUCUUCUCCUUUACAGUCACUCCUCCUCCUCCUCCUCCUCCUCCUCCUCCUCCUCCUCCUCCUCCUCCUCCUCCUCCUUCUUCUCCUCCUCCUCCACUUCCUCCUAAUUGUUCUCCUAAUAACCAUCAAAUUCCUAAAUCUAUCUCACCCGUAUCUACUACCCCUCCUCCUCCUCCUCCUCCUCUUCCUCCUCCGUACAAUCAUCUUAUACCUCCUCCUCUUUCCCGUUUCCCUCCUCCUCCUUCUCUUCCUCCUUCUCCUCCUCCUCCAGCUCCUGCUCCUCCACUCGCUGUAGAUACAACACUCACGUAUAAGUGCAGGUUACUGCUGUAAUAAAUUUGUAACUUCCCA
Long non-coding RNA from Scylla paramamosain (green mud crab), 4829 nucleotides. RefSeq lists it as uncharacterized. The transcript has 2 exons. Lineage: Eukaryota; Metazoa; Arthropoda; Malacostraca; Decapoda; Portunidae. The record is from RefSeq and is a predicted model, not a curated record.